Molecule: long non-coding RNA, 875 nt
Filed under: Pan troglodytes (chimpanzee)
Lineage: Eukaryota; Metazoa; Chordata; Mammalia; Primates; Hominidae
Description: long non-coding RNA NONPTRT005909
Source: RNAcentral
CGCGCUGCCGCCGCCUCCUCCAGCCAGAGUCGGUGGGACUGGCUGCGCUGCCCUGAAGUGGUUCUCCAAGCAGCGCGGAGGGUGGCGGACGGCGGACGGAGCCCAGGGGCCGCGUCGGGUGGGGAAACCCGAACUCGCGGAGGGGAAUCCCUCCCCCUUCGCCCCAGCCCCCCAGCAGCACCCGCGGUGGGGCGGGGGCGCUCUGCCAGCCCCGGGAACAGCAGAGGCGGCGGCACUGGCUGGACCCACGCGCGCGCCUCCGGGGCUGAAGAAGGAAGGAGUGAGCCGAGCCGAGCACCCCACAUCUGGAGGGGACAGCCAGCCGUGGGCCCCGCCCCGGCGUCCGGAGCAGGAGAACUCCGAGCUUCUUGCCCAGGCAAAGAGAGCAGGAGCGGACCGCGCGCCCGGGAUUGAGAGUCCUUGCGCUCCAGACCCCCACCCAGUGGCCGCCAGGGUCCCCGCCUGUCCGGACCCUCGCCGCGCCCAGGCAGGCGCGCCAGGGCGGGGCUGACCUGCCCGCGAAGUUGCGGACAGUGCGUGAGAAGCCAGCACCCCCUUCCGCCGCCUCCAGCUUAUGGUGAGUGUGGCUGGGGGUGCAGAGAGCGCACGGGAAUUCGGGGGUCUGGGGCCGAGAACGUGACCGCAGCCGGGCUCGCCGGGAGUUCUAGGAACAGAAGCCUCAAGCUCUCCCAUUCUGCUCUCUGCAUGUUCCAAGGAGGAUCGCGGACAAGCUGCCCACCCACUGGCCAAGAUAUAGGUUGGUGGCAUUUGACUUGCUGUCUUGACAAGCACCUGAAAUUGUUUUUGCAGCAGUUGUACAUUUCUUCUGACCCACUGAAAGGACUUGAUCUCCUUGGCCCCCUGGGAUGAAAGUA